This 861-nucleotide ribosomal RNA is filed under the name uncultured fungus. Its description in RNAcentral is "SSU rRNA". It matches the Rfam family "Eukaryotic small subunit ribosomal RNA", at positions 612 to 1507 of the family's 1831-position model. Lineage: Eukaryota; Fungi. The record is from RNAcentral.
GUUGCAGUUAAAAGCUCGUAGUUGAACUUGGGCCUGGCUGGCGGGUCCGCCUCACCGCGUGCACUCGUCCGGCCGGGCCUUCCUUCUGAAGAACCUCAUGCCCUUCACUGGGCGUGCUGGGGAAUCAGGACUUUUACUUUGAAAAAAUUAGAGUGUUCAAAGCAGGCCUUUGCUCGAAUACGUUAGCAUGGAAUAAUAAAAUAGGGCGUGCGUUUCUAUUUUGUUGGUUUCUAGAGACGCCGCAAUGAUUAACAGGAACAGUCGGGGGCAUCAGUAUUCCGUUGUCAGAGGUGAAAUUCUUGGAUUUACGGAAGACUAACUACUGCGAAAGCAUUUGCCAAGGAUGUUUUCAUUAAUCAGUGAACGAAAGUUAGGGGAUCGAAGACGAUCAGAUACCGUCGUAGUCUUAACCGUAAACUAUGCCGACUAGGGAUCGGGCGAUGUUCUUUUUCUGACUCGCUCGGCACCUUACGAGAAAUCAAAGUUUUUGGGUUCUGGGGGGAUUAUGGUCGCAAGGCUGAAACUUAAAGAAAUUGACGGAAGGUCACCACCAGGCGUGGAGCCUGCGGCUUAAUUUGACUCAACACGGGGAAACUCACCAGGUCCAGAUGAAAUAAGGAUUGACAGAUUGAGAGCUCUUUCUUGAUUUUUCAGGUGGUGGUGCAUGGCCGUUCUUAGUUCGUGGGGUGACUUGUCUGCUUAAUUGCGAUAACGAGCGAGACCUUACUCUGCUAAAUAGCCAGGCUAACUUUGGUUGGUCGCCGGCUCCUUAGAGAGACUAUCAACUCAGUUGAUGGAAGUUUGAGCAUAACAGGUCUGUGAUGCCCUUUAGAUGUCUGGGCGCACGCGCGCUACACUGAC